RNAcentral lists this ribosomal RNA (440 nucleotides) under uncultured bacterium. RNAcentral describes it as "partial 16S ribosomal RNA". It matches the Rfam family "Bacterial small subunit ribosomal RNA", at positions 338 to 795 of the family's 1533-position model. The record is from RNAcentral.
CCUACGGGAGGCAGCAGUGGGGAAUAUUGCACAAUGGGGGAAACCCUGAUGCAGCGACGCCGCGUGGGUGAAGACGUAUUUCGGUAUGUAAAGCUCUUUCAGCAGGGAAGAAAAUGACGGUACCUGAGCAAGAAGCCCCGGCUAACUACGUGCCAGCAGCCGCGGUAAUACGUAGGGGGCAAGCGUGAUCCGGAUUUACUGGGUGUAAAGGGAGCGUAUACUGCAGGGCAAGUCUGCAGUGAAAGGCGGGGGCUCAACCCCCGUACUGCGCUGGAAACUGGCAGGCUUGAGUGCAGGAGAGGUAAGUGGAAUUCCUAGUGUAGCGGUGAAAUGCGUAGAGAUUAGGAGGAACACCAGUGGCGAAGGCGGCUUACUGGACUGUAACUGACGUUGAGGCUCGAAAGCGUGGGGAGCAAACAGGAUUAGAUACCCCUGUAGUC